UUAAGAAUUGCUUAAUAUUUGUUAAAAUUUAAUUAUGGUUUUAAAAAUGAUAAAAUAACAUUAUUUAAUAUUAAUUUGUAAAGUAGGCAAUAAAAAAUUACCUCGGUAAUAAAUUGUUUGUAUAAUGUUUGUUCCAGAAUAAUCGGCUAGACUUACGCAAUUUUAACUUUAUUUAAUUUAAAUUAUAAAAUUUUUAAAUAAAAUUAAAAAUUUAUAGGUAAAAUUUUAAAUUUUUAAAAUUAAAGUUUAUAAUUUUAAAGUUUAAUUAAUAAAUUAGAUUAGUACCUAAGUAAUUAAAUUUUAGUAAAACAGGAGUAAAGUAAAAUAUAAACUGUAAAAAUUUUGGCAGAUUGUUUAAAUUAUCUUUGGAGGUUGAGUAAUAAAUGAGAACCCUCAUUAACUACUAUUUUUUUAGGCUUAUGUAUGAUCGUUUAUUGUGUAUUUAUGAUAUACAAUAAAAUUUUAAAAUUUUAAUUUAUUGUAAUUUUAAUAUAAAAAUAGAUAUAUAUUUAGUUUAUAUAAAAGUUUAAUUUGACCUACAAUAUAAAAAAAUGUGAAUAAUAAAUGUGAAUUUAUUUGAAAAUGUAAAAGACAGUAAAAAAAAUUUAAUGUUUUUUUGAAGAGUAUUUAAAAGUGGUUCAAAUCAUCCAUCAAUUGCCUAAAGGGGAGUAAGUUGUAGUAAAGUAAAUUUAGGGGAACCUGAAUUUAAUAGU
This 713-nucleotide non-coding RNA is filed under the name Haemonchus placei. Lineage: Eukaryota; Metazoa; Nematoda; Chromadorea; Rhabditida; Trichostrongylidae. The record is from RNAcentral.